ACGGGAGACACACGGCGGGUGCUAACGUCCGUCGUGAAGAGGGAAACAACCCAGACCGCCAGCUAAGGUCCCAAAGUCAUGGUUAAGUGGGAAACGAUGUGGGAAGGCACAGACAGCCAGGAUGUUGGCUUAGAAGCAGCCAUCAUUUAAAGAAAGCGUAAUAGCUCACUGGUCGAGUCGGCCUGCGCGGAAGAUGUAACGGGGCUAAACCAUGCACCGAAGCUGCGGCAGCGAUAUGAAAAUAUUGUUGGGUAGGGGAGCGUUCUGUAAGCCUGCGAAGGUGGACUGUGAGGUCUGCUGGAGGUAUCAGAAGUGCGAAUGCUGACAUAAGUAACGAUAAAGCGGGAAAAGCCGCUCGCCGGAAGACCAAGGGUUCCUGUCCAACGUUAAUCGGGGCAGGGUAACGCGUUAAGUCGACCGCCUGGGGAGUACGGCGCAAGGUUAAAACUCAAAUGAAUUGACGGGGGGCCGCACAAGCGGUGGAGCAUGUGGUUUAAUUCGAUGCAACGCGAAGAACCUUACCUACUCUUGACAUCCAGAGAACUUAGCAGAGAUGCUUUGGUGCCUUCGGGAACUCUGAGACAGGUGCUGCAUGGCUGUCGUCAGCUCGUGUUGUGAAAUGUUGGGUUAAGUCCCGCAACGAGCGCAACCCUUAUCCUUUGUUGCCAGCGAGUCAUGUCGGGAACUCAAAGGAGACUGCCGGGUGAUAAACCGGAGGAAGGUGGGGAUGACGUCAAGUCAUCAUGGCCCUUACGAGUAGGGCUACACACGUGCUACAAUGGCGUAUACAAAGAGAAGCUAACUCGCGAGAGCAUGCGGACCUCAUAAAGUACGUCGUAGUCCGGAUCGGAGUCUGCAACUCGACUCCGUGAAGUCGGAAUCGCUAGUAAUCGUGGAUCAGAAUGCCACGGUGAAUACGUUCCCGGGCCUUGUACACACCGCCCGUCACACCAUGGGAGUGGGUUGCAAAAGAAGUAGGUAGCUUAACCUUCGGGAGGGCGCUUACCACUUUGUGAUUCAUGACUGGGGUGAAGUCGUAACAAGGUAACCGUAGGGGAACCUGCGGUUG
This 1069-nucleotide ribosomal RNA is filed under the name Pragia fontium. RNAcentral describes it as "bacterial SSU rRNA". The stretch from base 423 to 1069 matches the Rfam family "Bacterial small subunit ribosomal RNA", at positions 874 to 1520 of the family's 1533-position model. The record is from RNAcentral. Lineage: Bacteria; Pseudomonadati; Pseudomonadota; Gammaproteobacteria; Enterobacterales; Budviciaceae.